UCCGUAGGUGAACCUGCGGAAGGAUCAUUAAUGAAUUUCGAGUAACCAUUUAACUGGUGCUCAACCUUCAUUUCUAACCCUGUGAACUAUUAUUGGAUUGGUGACUUUGGUCGCUUUUCCACCUUUUUAUUACAAACUUUUGUAUUAGAAUGUUUAUUAAACUAUAAUAAAGAAAAACUUUCAACAACGGAUCUCUUGGCUCUCGCAUCGAUGAAGAACGCAGCGAAAUGUGAUAAGUAAUGUGAAUUGCAGAAUUCAGUGAAUCAUCGAAUCUUUGAACGCAUCUUGCGCUCCUUGGUAUUCCGAGGAGCAUGCUUGUUUGAGUGUCAUGAAUUCUUCAACCCACACUUUUCUUUAUGAAUCGAGUGGUGUUUGGAUUCUGAGCACUGCUGAUCUCACGAUCGGCUUGCUCGUAAUAUAUUAGCAACUCUAAUCUAUAUUUGGAUUGACUCGGUGUAAUAGACUAUUCGCUGAGGAUUACUUGCUUUCGGGCAAGUGGCCAAGUAUUAACCUGACUUUGCUCCUAAUCCGACUACUAGUCAACUUUUAAGAUUAGACCUCAAAUCAAGUAGGACUACCCGCUGAACUUAAGCAUAUCAAUAAGCGGAGGA
Molecule: ribosomal RNA, 611 nt
Filed under: Vonarxula javanica
Lineage: Eukaryota; Fungi; Basidiomycota; Microbotryomycetes; Chrysozymaceae
Description: eukaryotic LSU rRNA
Rfam family: 5.8S ribosomal RNA (bases 176-329)
Source: RNAcentral